RNAcentral lists this long non-coding RNA (1040 nucleotides) under Monodelphis domestica (gray short-tailed opossum). Its description in RNAcentral is "lncRNA (ENSMODG00000050637.1)". Lineage: Eukaryota; Metazoa; Chordata; Mammalia; Didelphimorphia; Didelphidae. The record is from RNAcentral.
CUUUCCUUCCUUCCAGCCCAAAGUCAAGGUACAGCUGAAGGACAGUCACUGCUUGGCAGAGCAUUCAUAUAUUGGAUUCUUGGGUCUCAAGGGUGUUAAAGUUACAGUGUGGAGUAAAUGAUACUUUGAAUCUGUCUUCUUUCCUGGUUCUGAGAAGCAAAGCCGCCAUGUCACAAUUGGUCCAGUGCCCUCUCCAUUGCCCUACGUUAGCGGCCAUGAAGAGUCAUCGUUUCAAUUUCUGCUUUUUUGAGGCAUUUUUUGACAGCUGUCUUCAAGCUAGAUCUCACCUGACCAAUAUCAUUAGUCUUCGUUUAAAGAUGAGAAAAUUGAAAUGGAGAAAGGCAACUCAUGAGCAACGGUGGGCAGUUUCUGGCAAAACUGUGGAAGAUGAAGCUUAUCUCAAUUUAGUCCCCCAUCUCCAUCUCUCCGCUCCAGCGUGCUCUUCCCUCUCUAAGCAUUCUAUGGUCUUCCCUCUCUAACAAUUCUUUUUGUUGACCUGAAGCCUGCCUGACACAUUAAAGAACUGAGGUGAUAUUGGUAUGAGGGUCUAUUGAUGUACUUCACCCCAAGACCAGCAAAGGAAAGGUGGCUGUACGAGAAUGGUGAGUGUUCUGGCUUGGGUAUCACAAACAGCUGGGGCUAAAUUUUGCUUCUAAUACUUAUUCUAUGUUUGACCCUGAGUGGGACACUUAACCAUAGUGUGCUUCAGGCAAUUCCUUAAGAAUCAUUCUACUGAGAUCCUGAACAACUUGGUGGAAUCUAAGAGAAAAACCAUUGUGGCAGUAGAAACACAGAAGAAAAACAACUGCUUGAUUACAUGGGUUGAGGGGAAUAUGGUUGGGGAUGUAGACCCUAAAGGAACAUCCUAGUGCAAACAACAACAUGGAAAUAGGUUCUGAUCAAGGAUACAAGUAAUACCCAGUGGAAUUGCACAUUGGCUGAGGGAAGAGUGGGUGGAGGGGAGGGAGGGAAAUAUUGUGAUUAUUGUAACCAAGGAAUAAUGUUCUAAAUUGACUAAAUAAAUUAAUUAAAAAGAAUCA